AGUGCCGGCGGCGGCAGUGGACGCGGAAGUGGCGGCAGCACGUGGUUCCCAGAGUGCCCUGCGGUUGUUGGGUUCCAAUUCCGUGGGGACGGACAAAGGCAGCUGUGAGCGCCGGGCAACGCCCAGUCGGGUGGUGCGCUCGCCACUGCCCUCAAUCCGGGCCUUGAAAACUGGGACUAACUUGUCUCCGUGAGUAGGAGACCACGGGCACCGAGGCCCAGUGAGGGCCUGAGAGGCUGAGGCCGCUGUCUGAGGGCAAGGGGGCGGGGCGUGGCCCGCCUGAGUUGAUUGGGUGGGUCAAUUCUGUGGCGACUUAGUGGGCUACUGUGAGGUAAUUUGACUCACUACCCUGAGGAGAUUGGGGCGCACAGCAAGCUAGGUUUGAUCUGGGCUUUGAAAACGGAAAUUGGUCUUCAGCGCUUAGGAAAUCUUUCAGUUGGCAGGUGGUGAAGCCGAAACUAACGCCAUAUGCACUCGAGCAACAUCGUGGUCGCCAGUUUGGGGCUUAUUUAAGGAUCCUGGGAUCACUGAUGGCGAAGACAUGUGUGGCUGUCCAGUUUUAUGACUGAAGUUGCUAGACUUCCGGAUUGUGGUUAAAGAACUGGAGACAUCACCACACUCAUGGCUUUCACGAAUUACAGCAGUCUGAAUCGAGCUCAGCUAACCUUUGAAUGCCUACAUACAAAUUCAGCCACUCAUGAAUCCUUGUUUGGUGCUCUUGCUGAACUAGUUGAUAAUGCAGGAGAUGCUGAUGCCACGAGAAUUGAUAUUUAUACAGAAAGGCGAGAGGACCUUCGAGGAGGAUUUAUGCUUUGUUUUUUGGAUGAUGGAACAGGAAUGGAUCCAAGUGAUGCUGCCAGCGUGAUCCAGUUUGGGAAGUCGGCCAAGCGAACGCCUGAGUCCACCCAGAUUGGGCAGUACGGGAAUAGGUUAAAGUCGGGCUCGAUGCGCAUCGGGAAGGAUUUUAUCCUCUUCACCAAGAAGGAAGACACCAUGACCUGCCUCUUCCUGUCACGCACCUUUCAUGAGGAGGAGGGCAUUGAUGAGGUGAUAGUCCCAUUGCCCAAUUGGAAUGCUCGAAACCGGGAACCUGUCACAGACAACGUGGAGAAGUUUGCCAUUGAGACAGAACUCAUCUACAAAUAUUCUCCCUUCCGCAAUGAAGAGGAGGUGAUGGCUCAGUUCAUGAAGAUUCCUGGGGACAGUGGAACGCUGGUAAUCAUCUUUAACCUCAAACUCAUGGAUAACGGAGAGCCAGAGCUGGACAUAAUCUCAAAUCCAAGUGAUAUCCAGAUGGCAGAGACUUCCCCGGAGGGCACCAAGCCAGAGCGCCGCUCCUUCCGUGCCUAUGCUGCCCUGCUCUACAUUGAUCCCCGGAUGCAGAUCUUCAUCCAUGGGCACAAGGUGCAGACCAAGAGGCUCUCCUGCUGCCUGUACAAGCCCAGGAUGUACAAGUACACAUCAAGCAGGUUCAAGACCCGCGCAGAGCAGGAGGUGAAGAAGGCUGAGCACGUGAUGAGGAUUGCUGAAAAGAAGGCCCGGAAGGCAGAAAGCAAAGCUCGGACGUUGGAAGUGCGCCUGGGCGGAGAUCUCACACGGGACUCCACGGUGAUGUUGCGACAGGUCCAGAACACAGCCAUUACUCUGCGCAGGGAAGCCGACGUCAAGAAGCGGAUCAAGAAGGCUAAGCAGCGAGCACUUAAACAACCUAAGGAACUGAACUUUGUUUUCGGGAUCAACAUCGAACACCGGGACCUGGAUAGAAUGUUCAUCUACAACUUUAGCCGCCUGAUCAAGAUGGCUUGUAGUGGGGUUGUUGGGGUCGUCCAUGUGCCCUACCUGGUCCUGGAGCCCACACACAACAAGCAGGACUUUGCGGACGCCAAGGAGUACCGGCACCUGCUGCGGGCCGUGGGGGAGCAGCUGGUACAGUACUGGAAGGACAUCGCCAUUGCCCAGCGGGGAAUCAUCAAGUUCUGGGAUGAGUUUGGCUACCUCUCUGCCAACUGGAACCAGCCCCCAUCCAGUGAGCUGCGCUGCAAGCGGCGGCGAUCCAUGGAGAUCCCAACCACCAUCCAGUGUAAUCUGUGUCUGAAGUGUCGGACACUUCCCUUUCAGCUGAAUUCUGUGGAGAGGGAUUACCCUGACACUUGGGUUUGCUCCAUGAACCCUGAUCCUGAGCAGGACCGGUGCGAGGCCUCUGAGCAGAAGCAGAAGCUCCCCCUGGGGGCUCUGAGAAAGGACCCGAAGAUGCAGGAGGAGCGGCAGAAGCAGCUGACGCAGAAAAUCUGCCAGCAGCAGGAGAAGCUGGAGGCCCUGCAGAAAACCACACCCAUUCGCUCCCAGGCUGACCUGAAGAAACUGCCCUUGGAAGUGACCACCAGACCUCCCUCUGAGGAACCUGCACGUAGACCUCAGUGUCCUUGGUUGCCUCCUUUACCUGCUGUGAUGAAGAAUGCCCCGAGCAGACCCCCUUCCCUUCAAGCUCCCAGACGAGCCAGCCGGCCCAGAAAGGCUCCUGUCAUCAGUAGCACCCCAAAGCCUGCUGCCCCGGCCGCCCGGGAGGAGGCCAGCACUUCCCGGCUACUCCAGCCUCCCGAGGCACCCCGGAAGCCUGCCAACACUCUGGUCAGGCCUGCAUCCCGGCCCAGCCCACCGGUGCAGCCACCGUUACCAUCUCCCCAGCACAACUCCAGGAGCCCUCGGGAGGUCCCUUCCCCCCGAGUCCUGAAGACUCCAGUGGUCAAGAAGCCAGAGCUGCCCGCUAAACUCUCCCCGCAGCCCACUCCUGGUCGGAAGCGGAGCCUCGGGGUCUCUGAUGAGGAAGAAACAGAGGAAGAGGCUGAGAAGAGGAAGGAGAGGUCCAAGAGGGGCAAGUUUGCUGUGAAGGAGGAAAAGAAGGACUUGAAUGAGCUCUCAGACAGUUCUGAGGAAGAGGACUCGGCUGACCUCAAGAUCGCUCAGAAAGAUAAAGGGCUGCACGUGGAGGUGCAUGUGAAUAGGGAGUGGUACACAGGCCGUGUCACAGCUGUGGAGGUGGGCAAGAAUGUGGUGCGGUGUAAGGUGAAAUUUGACUAUGUGCCCACGGACACCCCACCAAGAGACCGCUGGGUGGAGAGAGGCAGCGAGGACGUGCAGUUGAUGAAGCCCCCGUCCCCAGAGUAUCAGAGCCCGGACACACGUCAGGAGGGCCGGGAAGAGGUGGUGGUGGCGGCGGCCCCAGCAGGGGAUUCGGUAGCCCAGCAAGCUGUAGCCACGGCAGAGCCCUCCACCUCGGACUGCAUCCCCAUCAAACCUGACACCACCGCCCCCAGCACCAGCCACGAGACCGUUGACCUCCUCGUCCAGAUUCUUCGGAAUUGUUUACAGUACUUCCUGCCUCCAAGUUUCCCCAUCUCUAAGAAGGAGCUGAGUGCUAUGAAUUCAGAUGAGCUGAUAUCGUUUCCUCUGAAAGAGUACUUCAAGCAAUAUGAAGUCGGGCUGCAGAACCUGUGCCAUUCCUACCAGAGCCGCGCCGACUCGCGGGCCAAGGCCUCUGAGGCGAGCCUGCGCACCUCCGAGAGAAAGCUGCGUGAGACGGAGGAGAAGCUGCAGAAGCUGAGGACCAACAUCGUGGCACUCCUGCAAAAGGACAUAGACAUUAACACAGGCGACGAGCUGGAUGCCUACAUCGAGGACCUGAUCACCAAGGGGGACUAGGCCCGGAGCCAGAGAUCAGCUCCCCUGCCCCUCAAGGCAGAGCUCCUGAAGGUGGCGUUUCAUUUAUGGGUUGCUGGACUUAUCUUGGUUUGACUCAUGGGAUAUUUGUGCUUUGGGUGGGAAAGAAACUCUGAUUCUUUGAAUCUUCCACCCUAAGUUUAUAAAUAUUAAUUUUUUGAAAGAACCAAAAAAUAAAAAAUUUAAAAAAUAAA
Molecule: non-coding RNA, 3911 nt
Organism: Odocoileus virginianus texanus
Lineage: Eukaryota; Metazoa; Chordata; Mammalia; Artiodactyla; Cervidae
Source: RefSeq, a predicted model, not a curated record